This 433-nucleotide ribosomal RNA is filed under the name uncultured bacterium. RNAcentral's name for it is "partial 16S ribosomal RNA". It matches the Rfam family "Bacterial small subunit ribosomal RNA", at positions 29 to 507 of the family's 1533-position model. The record is from RNAcentral.
AACGAACGCUGGCGGCAUGCCUAACACAUGCAAGUCGAACGAAACCUCCGGGUCUUUUGGCGCACGUCUGCGUAACGCGUGGGAACCUGCCCUUAGGUUCGGAAUAACUCCCCGAAAGGGGUGCUAAUACCGGAUAAUGUCUUCCGACCAAAGAUUUAUCGCCUUUGGAUGGGCCCUCGUUGGAUUAGCUAGUUGGGAGGGUAAAAGCCUACCAAGGCGACGAUCGCUAGCUGGUCUGGGAGGAUGAUCCGCCACGCUGGGACUGAGACACGGCCCAGAACCGUACGCGAGGGAGGAGAGGGUAAUAUUGGACAAUGGGGGAAAGUGUGGUCCAGCCAUGCGGCGUAAGUGAUGCUGGCCGUAGGGAACUAAAGUUCUUUUAGCCGGGAUGAUAAUGACGGUACCGGGAGAAUAAGCUCCGGCUAACUCCGUG